This 253-nucleotide ribosomal RNA is filed under the name uncultured bacterium. Its description in RNAcentral is "partial 16S ribosomal RNA". It matches the Rfam family "Bacterial small subunit ribosomal RNA", at positions 524 to 776 of the family's 1533-position model. The record is from RNAcentral.
UACGUAGGGUGCAAGCGUUGUCCGGAAUUAUUGGGCGUAAAGAGCUCGUAGGCGGUUUGUCGCGUCUGCUGUGAAAACCCGAGGCUCAACCUCGGGCCUGCAGUGGGUACGGGCAGACUAGAGUGCGGUAGGGGAGACUGGAAUUCCUGGUGUAGCGGUGAAAUGCGCAGAUAUCAGGAGGAACACCGGUGGCGAAGGCGGGUCUCUGGGCCGUAACUGACGCUGAGGAGCGAAAGCAUGGGGAGCGAACAGG